UGGCGGACGGGUGAGUAAUGUCUGGGAAACUGCCCGAUGGAGGGGGAUAACUACUGGAAACGGUAGCUAAUACCGCAUAACGUCGCAAGACCAAAGAGGGGGACCUUCGGGCCUCUUGCCAUCGGAUGUGCCCAGAUGGGAUUAGCUAGUAGGUGGGGUAAAGGCUCACCUAGGCGACGAUCCCUAGCUGGCCUGAGAGGAUGACCAGCCACACUGGAACUGAGACACGGUCCAG
This 235-nucleotide ribosomal RNA is filed under the name uncultured bacterium. Its description in RNAcentral is "partial 16S ribosomal RNA". It matches the Rfam family "Bacterial small subunit ribosomal RNA", at positions 96 to 334 of the family's 1533-position model. The record is from RNAcentral.